GUCUGGCGUAAAUAUCGAAUUCUGUAGACCAAAAACCAUUCAUUAUGUACAAGAAAACGUCAAUGGUGGUUACAUAGACAUUUGGCACCCGCCUUGGCUAAAAGUCAUGCUUUUCGCCGGAUUUUGGUCCGAACGACCAAAUUUUGCAUCAGAUUUGACAUGUUUUAGACGAUGAAAACCACCUCCAAUAUCAUAAAGUCAGCUUGAGUUUGCUUUGCGGGACAAGUGGAAUAACAUUCCUCGGGAUCACAUUAAACAUCCGGGAUGAUCAAUUAUACGGCGCUGU
This 286-nucleotide long non-coding RNA is filed under the name Mytilus galloprovincialis (Mediterranean mussel). The record is from RNAcentral. Lineage: Eukaryota; Metazoa; Mollusca; Bivalvia; Mytilida; Mytilidae.